UACGGAAGGCAGCAGUAAGGAAUAUUGGUCAAUGGGCGCAAGCCUGAACCAGCCAUGCCGCGUGCAGGAAGAAGGCCUUCGGGUUGUAAAGUACUUUCAGUCGUGAGGAAGGUGUUAAGGUUAAUAACCUUAGCAAUUGACGUUAGCGACAGAAGAAGCACCGGCUAACUCCGUGCCAGCAGCCGCGGUAAUACGGAGGGUGCGAGCGUUAAUCGGAAUUACUGGGCGUAAAGGGCACGCAGGCGGUUAAUUAAGUUGGAUGUGAAAUCCCCGGGCUUAACCUGGGAAUGGCAUUCAAGACUGGUUAGCUAGAGUCUUGUAGAGGGGGGUAGAAUUCCAUGUGUAGCGGUGAAAUGCGUAGAGAUGUGGAGGAAUACCGGUGGCGAAGGCGGCCCCUGGACAAAGACUGACGCUCAUGUGCGAAAGCGUGGGGAGCAAACAGGGAUUAGAUACC
RNAcentral lists this ribosomal RNA (454 nucleotides) under uncultured bacterium. RNAcentral's name for it is "bacterial SSU rRNA". It matches the Rfam family "Bacterial small subunit ribosomal RNA", at positions 340 to 786 of the family's 1533-position model. The record is from RNAcentral.